GGCCAGGUGGCGCAGUGGCAGCGCAUGCAAGAUUAGUGACAUCUCCCCAAUUUUUCUUCGCGAGGUCUUCGUUCGAUUCGGAGUCUGGCCG
Mycena metata is the source of this 91-nucleotide non-coding RNA. The record is from the annotation of a GenBank genome assembly. NCBI's taxonomy places the organism in Eukaryota, Fungi, Basidiomycota, Agaricomycetes, Agaricales, Mycenaceae.